CCACGAUGUAUAACACACACUCUACCAAUAGAAAAUUAUAAAAUUAUCUGCAUGUAUUUUUAGGUAGGACUUACCAUGAUUUCAAUCAAAAUAACCAUCAUUGAUUGGUUGGAUGUAUACACCCGGGUGUGUGUAAAAAUUACUCAUGUAGGGAAUUGAGGUUGCGGAACUCAAACCUAACACGGUUAAGUGAAUGAUAUGCCUUUAGCUACUUAACCAAGCCUAGCUAAGAAACUUCAAACUAUUAUCCUCUUAUGAGCUUUUAUAUUCCAUCAUAGCUUUUGUUGUUUCCGAAUCAUUGCACAAGAAAUUGUAUAAAAAUAUGCUUCAAAAUGAUUACAACUCAUAAAUUAAUAGUCUUCAUAUACCUGAUAUAUAGCUGGGACAUAAUUAAGUAGUUUAUUCUAAAUUUAAUUUAUUUAUUACACUCAUUAACUAUUAUUGAUCGAUGAAGAGAAUGCACGAUACUUGUGAUUAUUGAUUUUCUAAUUCUAAUGGAUGAUUCUAACCCAUAGUGUAAGAAGGGCUUGGUAAAUUGAUAACAGUGCUCUUAACUUUGGUCAUCAAGUUAAUGCUGUUGGUGAUGCCUUG
RNAcentral lists this unclassified non-coding RNA (591 nucleotides) under Hevea brasiliensis (rubber tree). The record is from RNAcentral. Lineage: Eukaryota; Viridiplantae; Streptophyta; Magnoliopsida; Malpighiales; Euphorbiaceae.